GAAUUUUGGACAAUGGGCGAAAGCUUGAUCCAGUAAUACCGCGUGAGUGAUGAAUGUAUUUUAUUGUAAAACUCUUUCGUUGAAAAAGAUAAUGACAGUAUUCAAGGAAGAAGUCCCGACUAACUUCGUGCCAGCAGUCGCGGUAAUACGAAGGGGGCGAGCGUUACUCGUCUUGAUUGGGCGUAAAGGGUACGUAGGCUGUUUUUAGUGUCCUAGAAAAAUUCUAAUUGGUAACAUUAGGCAUCUAGUAAAAACUAAAGGCUAGAGUAAAAGAGGGGAUAGUGGUACCCGCAGUGUAGCGAUGGAAUGCGUAGAAAUUGCUCAGGGACCACCAAUUGGCGAAGGCUACUAUCUAUUUUUUACUGACGCUGAGGUACGAAAGCGUGGGGAGCAAACAGG
RNAcentral lists this ribosomal RNA (399 nucleotides) under uncultured bacterium. RNAcentral describes it as "bacterial SSU rRNA". It matches the Rfam family "Bacterial small subunit ribosomal RNA", at positions 359 to 776 of the family's 1533-position model. The record is from RNAcentral.